AACCUUAAACUAGCAGCGCACGUCACUUUCUGAGUGAAGUGCGCGACGUGCGCGUGCCCGUAAUUUUGUAACGGUCAACUUCCAGCGGACGGACACGGAGGAAAGGGCCUGACAACCACCAGUUGAGUCCAUGAUUCAGGGAAGAGACAGUCUGGGCAGCAGCAACAAGACAACUAUUACAAGUAGAGAUGGGUUUCAAGAACUGGUACUAAUUUGGUUCCUGACUUGUUCGACACAACCACAUAUCCUCCAAAUCAUCUCUGCGUGGAUGGCAGCAAGGAUCCAGGAUCAAGAGAUCAUUCUUCAUGGAGACUUCCACAGGAAGCAGUUUCUCCUGGGUGAAAAACUCAACCUGGUUGUUUCAGCAUCACUCAGGCAAGACUAAAUACUUUUAAAUUGAUUUCAGUUGGUUAUGUGUUUCAGGUCAUCCUGACCAUUCUGCUGUCCUGGAUGUAAGUCCGUGCAGGAACUACAUUUCUCGUUGUUGAAAGAUUUGUGCAGCGGUAUCCAGACAUAUAACGCCCCAUCACACGGGGCGUCAACGCCUCUCGUUUACUUUUAAAUGAAGUGACGUCAAGGAUGGUGAAAUCAAUUCUAGAAAUUAAUUCUAAAUAGAAGUUGAAGACUUUUCAAGCGACAAUGCAGCCGUCCUCCAGUCAGAACAUCUUAUGCAAAUACCCUAGCGCAGACGCAAGCCAAUCAAGUGCAUGCAAUACCAGAAAACUAAUGUGAUUGGCUGUCACUAUGAGAAGAGACAGUAAUUCUGAUCCGAUAUCAGUGUCGUUUUUUUGCAAAAACAAUUUUAAAUCAAUGUAGAAUUUUCUAUACUUCUGUGUAGGGAUGUCA
Long non-coding RNA from Carassius gibelio (silver crucian carp), 846 nucleotides. RefSeq lists it as uncharacterized. The transcript has 4 exons. The record is from RefSeq and is a predicted model, not a curated record. NCBI's taxonomy places the organism in Eukaryota, Metazoa, Chordata, Actinopteri, Cypriniformes, Cyprinidae.